CGAGCGGCCGCGGGUGCUGCCCCAGGUCGUGGUGCGCCACAGCUCCCGCAAGCUCAAAUAUCCAUCGAGUCAAACGCCCUCCUCCUCCUCCACCGCGCAACGGGCCUGGCGUUUUGGAUUUCCGCGGCCCGAGAGGAAGACAGAGUGGCCUAUCACCAUUCAUUCUUUGGGAUUAAUCCUGCCAUCUGCCGUGAGGCCUUGCAUGGCCAAAGCAGCAAAGCAGGACACAAACCCAGCAAGUUUCCAGCCUUGACCUUCCGCCUGGGACGUCAGCCAUAG
RNAcentral lists this long non-coding RNA (279 nucleotides) under Apteryx owenii (little spotted kiwi). Its description in RNAcentral is "lncRNA (ENSAOWG00000003663.1)". Lineage: Eukaryota; Metazoa; Chordata; Aves; Apterygiformes; Apterygidae. The record is from RNAcentral.